GAUUUGUGGUAGGGCAUAAAUCCUGGGAUACAAACUUGAUUGUAAAAUGAGAAGGAGAAGAAAGAGUUGUGGGAGCCAUCCAAACUGAGGGAGCAAUAGUUUUUCUUGCACUUUUUUGGAACAGGAUGAUCUAUAGAAUGCUUCAGAGAGCUGAGAAUAAAUUGCUCUUCUCACUAAGAGAUGAUGGGAGAACAGAAGGUCCCUUCUCCGUGCAGCACAGUCAUACUGUAUACAGAUGACCACCAGACUCAGGAAAUAGAAAAGGAUCUCUAUAAAAUAAUGUAGGCCCUUACAUGAGAAAGAAAUUCUAACAGCUACCAGGUGAACAGAGAAGAACAGCAAAAAGAGCUCCCUCACUCUGUAGACAAAGCAGAACUGAAGAAUGGUCUUCUCCUUCAAGAUGAGCAAACAGGACAAAACAAAACCAACAGAAAAGCUUCUGCAAGCCAAAAGCAGAGAAAUGUCACAUUCAAGACAGAAAAGAAAUAAAUGCUUCAACAAAGAUCUCCUACAAGGUUUGUCUAAGAUGGUCGACAACAUCAGUUUUUUGUCCCUGAAAUCUGAGCAGGCUAUGAAAAUAGGAAAGGAGGGUUUAAGACAGCAAGAGACUCAGAAGAGGCUGUCUGAAGCACAGGAUGAGAAAAAAAGGGAAUUAGCUGAAGAAGAACAUAUUAGAAGUAAACUAGAAAUGUAUUGGCAGAAUUAAAAAUUUACAAUAAAAUUAUUUCUCAAAAUUAAAAAUACAUAAAAAUCAAUGUAAUUUGAGCUGGGGGUGGCGGCACAUGCCUAUAAUCCCAGCAGCUCAGGAGGCUGAGGCAGGAGGAUUUCAAGUUCAAAGCCAGCCUCAGCAAUUUAGCAAGGCCCUAAGCAACUCAGCAAGACGCUGACUCUAAAUAAAAUACAAAAAGGGGCUGGGGAUGUGGCUCAAUGGUUAAGGGACCUUGGGUUCAAUUCCUGGUAUGAAAAAAAUUUAAAAAAAAAUUUAAAUCACUGUAAUUGGAAAGAAUUG
This 1009-nucleotide long non-coding RNA is filed under the name Marmota monax (woodchuck). The record is from RNAcentral. Lineage: Eukaryota; Metazoa; Chordata; Mammalia; Rodentia; Sciuridae.